This 778-nucleotide ribosomal RNA is filed under the name uncultured Neocallimastigales. RNAcentral's name for it is "partial large subunit ribosomal RNA". It matches the Rfam family "Eukaryotic large subunit ribosomal RNA", at positions 24 to 644 of the family's 3401-position model. The record is from RNAcentral. Lineage: Eukaryota; Fungi; Neocallimastigomycota; Neocallimastigomycetes; Neocallimastigales.
UUAUCUCUGUAGAGUCUGCAUAUCAAUAAGCGGAGGAAAAGAAACUAACUAGGAUUCCCUCAGUAACGGCGAGUGAAGCGGGAAGAGCUCAAAUUUGAAAUCUUCAAGGUUUUACCUUGACGAAUUGUAGUUUAAAGAAGUGUUUUCUGUUGGAGUUUUGGUAAAAGUUCUUUGGAAUAGGACAUCAUAGAGGGUGAGAAUCCCGUAUUUGACCAUUUACUUCCAGCUGUGUGAUACACUUUCAAAGAGUCGGAUUGUUUGGGAAUGCAGUCCAAAAUGGGUGGUAAAUUUCAUCUAAAGCUAAAUAUUGGCGAGAGACCGAUAGCGAACAAGUACCGUGAGGGAAAGAUGAAAAGAACUUUGAAAAGAGAGUUAAACAGUACGUGAAAUUGUCAAAAGGGAAGCGUUUGACACCAGUGUUGUUUUCUCGAAAAUCAAUUAAAAAUGGCCUGAUUUUGUGUUGUAUUGACCUUAUCAAGCUUUCUUCACUUUUUUCAUUGUCUUUUUUAAUGCACUUUUCGUUUAACAAGUCAACAUCAAUUUCUUUUGUUGUAAAAGAGUCAUUGGAAGGUGGCUUUCACUUCGGUGAAAGUGUUUAUAGCCUUUGGCUUCUGCAAUCGGAGAGAUUGAGGUCUGCAGCGUAGAUCCUUCGGGGCUAGAUACAUUUGUGCUAAGUUAUAGUUUUUCAUAGACAACAUGUUGACUAUGAUUAAUCUUGUAGCUUACUCGCUUAUGCUAUUUUACCUACGCUUAGGAUGUUGAAUCUGUGCGAGACUAC